Long non-coding RNA from Varanus komodoensis (Komodo dragon), 708 nucleotides. RefSeq lists it as uncharacterized. The record is from RefSeq and is a predicted model, not a curated record. Lineage: Eukaryota; Metazoa; Chordata; Lepidosauria; Squamata; Varanidae. The transcript has 3 exons.
GGCUUGUGGAGUAUUCUGCUCAAAAGUAGUGAUGCUGGUGAGCUCCUCUAGCUGUUGUUUGACUCCACCUGCUGGAAGGAACUAACUUAUCUUCUGCCUACCAAAGCCAUCAGCUAAAUCCAUCACUGACUUGAAUGGAAAAAAAAAAGACUGGACCUAUAAAGAUGAUCUGGGAUUGGCUCUUUAACCUGUUUAUUAGGAACCUUGUCUGAAAACAGAGUAUCUUAGUGGUCUGCAACUGUAUUAGCCAUAUAUUUUUAGUAGGCUUUGAAAAGAAAUCCAAGUAUCAAUACUUACUCCUUCCACCAUUAGAUACCACUUGUCUCUUCUGUUAAUACUGUGUAACAUGUAGUACAGUUGGCUUUAUCAGUUAACCAUUCAAUACUAUUCAUUACAAUAUUAACUCACUCAUAUACAUGUCCCAUUUUCCUUCCUGUAUUUUACUUAUCCUAAUAACUGCUUUUCACUUGAUAAUCUGUAGUUCAACAUGAAUAUUGAAUUCAAAAUAAAUCAGGUGUGAAGUAUGCAGUUAUGUGAGCCGUUGUGUGAAACUAACCACACUAACAGACUGUGAUUUGUUAACCAAAACUAUCCUACCUAACAGCAAACCAUGGAUUCUCUUUAUGAAUUGUUCAUGGUUAACAAGCCACAGUUUGUUAGUGUGGUUCACAAAACCACACUAAAACCCACAUUACAGCAAUAGCCCAU